UACGAAGGGGGCGAGCGUUGUUCGGAAUCACUGGGCGUAAAGGGCGCGUAGGCGGCCCUCUUAGUCGCGUGUGAAAGCCCCGGGCUCAACCUGGGAACGGCGCGCGAAACGGGAGGGCUGGAGUUCGGGAGAGGAGAGUGGAAUUCCCAGUGUAGAGGUGAAAUUCGUAGAUAUUGGGAAGAACACCGGUGGCGAAGGCGGGUCUCUGGACAGUUCCUGACGCUGAGGCACGAAGGCCAGGGGAGCAAACGGG
Molecule: ribosomal RNA, 253 nt
Filed under: uncultured bacterium
Lineage: Bacteria
Description: partial 16S ribosomal RNA
Rfam family: Bacterial small subunit ribosomal RNA
Source: RNAcentral